RNAcentral lists this ribosomal RNA (332 nucleotides) under uncultured Enterobacteriaceae bacterium. Its description in RNAcentral is "partial 16S ribosomal RNA". Lineage: Bacteria; Pseudomonadati; Pseudomonadota; Gammaproteobacteria; Enterobacterales; Enterobacteriaceae. The record is from RNAcentral.
UCCCCCACAGGGGGACUGACGCACGGGAAUGUACGAAAGAGGCCACAAAGUGAAUCACAACCAAUGGGGGGAAGCACGCAGAGGGACCCGGUGAAGGAUGGCAGCCGUAUGUUAUAAUCAUCUAAUAACUAGAGGAUUGAGUUCGGGUGGGUCAGAGGUUUGUAUCUCCGUAAGAGGCGUCGGCUAUUUCGUGCCGCCAGCCCCGGUAAUCCGAGGGGUGCGAGCGUGUCCGUGAUUUGCGGGGUUUAAGGGGGGCGCCGGGGGGUUCUUCGCCCGCGGAGAAAUGAGAGGGUACCCCUAGGAACCGUCUUUGAAACUGGUAGUCUAGAGUU